Molecule: unclassified non-coding RNA, 294 nt
Filed under: fungal sp.
Lineage: Eukaryota; Fungi
Description: partial internal transcribed spacer region
Rfam family: Eukaryotic small subunit ribosomal RNA (bases 1-45)
Source: RNAcentral
AGUCGUAACAAGGUUUCCGUAGGUGAACCUGCGGAAGGAUCAUUAACACAUUGUCCAUUUGGAGAUUGAUGAUUUCAGAAUUGGGUAAAACCAUAUUUGAAUCACAAUCUUUCAAACUUAAAGUAAACUGUUGAAGUCUUCAAUAUGUUUUUUAAACAUAUAGUUGAUUACUAGUGAUUCUCGAUCAAUGAAAUUUGGGAUAUUUAUAUUUCAAUUUUCGUUCGACUGAUGUUUCAUUUAAAAACAAUAAAUAUAACCAAGACAACUUGUAACAGUGGAUACCUUGGUUCCCAG